AGCCUGGUGGUUUUAAAGAAAGAUCCUCUUUGACUCCCUGCCUGUCACCUCUGCUGAAAACCCCAGUCUAGCUCACUGUCCCAGGCAUGUUGUGGGCCCUAGUGCUGCCUUUGGUUUUCCUGGCUCUUGUCACUCAGGUAUCUUCCAACGCAAAAGGGGCCCAGAUGUCAGUCACUGGCAAGACUUGGGAGACUGCUUCUUUCACUUGUGAUCUUGCACAAGAUGCCACGUAUAUCCACCUUUACAAACAACAGGAGGGGAUGGCUCCCCGACGCCUUUUCUACUAUGAUGUCUACUACUCCAAGAUUCAGUUCGAAUCAGGAACCAAUAAAGAAAAAUACAGUGUUUAUAAAGGUGCAGGAAGGAGCUACAGGUUUGCAAUCCUAAAUCUGGAACACAGUGAUUCCGGGAUAUACUACUGUGCUGUCUGGGAUAAGCACGUCGGUUCAGACUUCCUGUACACUGCACUGGAAAUUCUGCUUGUGGCUGCCAAGUGCAGCUCUGAUAACAACCCCUGCCUCACUUCUUCCCCCAGAUUUUCUUUACUCUGGACAAAGAGAAACCCUGAGCUCAAUGCCCAUUUCUGAAGUUUUAUCUUCUAUAGCCACCUCCUCCCUCUCCACAACAGCCAUAGUUUUUCCUGAAAACAGACCUUCAUCCCCAGGCUGUAAGCAAGCAAUAUAGCAGGCAGCAUAUCCUCACUCUCCUAGGAACUGAUAGAGUUCAUAUAAUUUUUUCUUUAGAACAAAGAGGGGAUCUAGGAUUGAUCUCUUAGGAAAGACAUUUAGAAGAGCAAAAUGGAAAGGCUAGACAAUAUGGAAUCAUUAAUUCCAUCAUUAUCCAGAGAAAAUGGCUGGGGA
Molecule: non-coding RNA, 860 nt
Organism: Bubalus bubalis (water buffalo)
Lineage: Eukaryota; Metazoa; Chordata; Mammalia; Artiodactyla; Bovidae
Source: the annotation of a RefSeq genome assembly